GUCAAGCCUAUGAAGCUGGCAGAAGGUGAAGAUGUUGGGAGCAGGAUGCUUUCAGCCAAGAAGAGGCGGAGGCAGAAAAGGUGUAGGGCUGGGAAGCCCUUGGAUGUAGAUGCUCAGGAAGUGAAGGACUUUGUUAGAAGCAGAGACUACGUAGACAGACCAGGACGUAAAUGCACGCAGAAGUGUGUGGUAGAGUCGAGCACGGAGUCCGAGCCUGAAGCCAGGGCAGAG
Calidris pugnax (ruff) is the source of this 231-nucleotide long non-coding RNA. RefSeq lists it as uncharacterized. Lineage: Eukaryota; Metazoa; Chordata; Aves; Charadriiformes; Scolopacidae. The transcript is spliced from 3 exons. The record is from RefSeq and is a predicted model, not a curated record.